GUGGGGAAUAUUGGACAAUGGGCGAAAGCCUGAUCCAGCCAUGCCGCGUGAGUGAAGAAGGCCUUAGGGUUGUAAAGCUCUUUCGACGGGGACGAUGAUGACGGUACCCGUAGAAGAAGCCCCGGCUAACUUCGUGCCAGCAGCCGCGGUAAUACGAAGGGGGCAAGCGUUGUUCGGAUUUACUGGGCGUAAAGGGCGCGUAGGCGGAUAGACAAGUCAGAGGUGAAAGCCCUGGGCUCAACCCGGGAACUGCGUUUGAAACUGUUUGUCUUAAGUAUGGGAGAGGAUGGCGGAAUACCCAGUGUAGAGGUGAAAUUCGUAGAUAUUGGGUAGAACACCAGUGGCGAAGGCGGCCAUCUGGACCAGCACUGACACUGAGGCACGAAAGCGUGGGGAGCAAACAGGAUUAGAUACCCCUGUAGUCC
This 425-nucleotide ribosomal RNA is filed under the name uncultured bacterium. RNAcentral describes it as "bacterial SSU rRNA". It matches the Rfam family "Bacterial small subunit ribosomal RNA", at positions 354 to 796 of the family's 1533-position model. The record is from RNAcentral.